This 406-nucleotide ribosomal RNA is filed under the name uncultured bacterium. Its description in RNAcentral is "partial 16S ribosomal RNA". It matches the Rfam family "Bacterial small subunit ribosomal RNA", at positions 29 to 526 of the family's 1533-position model. The record is from RNAcentral.
AUUGAACGCUGGCGGCAGGCCUAACACAUGCAAGUCGAGCGAGCGACGGGCGGGUGAUGAAUGUCUGGGAACCUGCCUGAUGGGGGUGGAGACCGGCUAGAAACGGUAGCUAAUACCGCAUCCCAUCGGGUGUGCCCAGGUGGGAUUAGCUAGUAGGGUGGGUACCGGCUCACAAGGGCGACGAUCCCUAGCUGGUCUGAGAGGUUGACCAGCCACACGGGAACUGAGACACGGUCCAGACUCCUACGGGAGGCAGCAGUGGGGAAUAUUGCACAAUGGGCGCAAGCCUGAUGCAGCCAUGCCGCGUGUGUGAAGAAGGCCUUCGGGUUGUAAAGCACUUUCAGCUGGGAGGCGUUACCCGCAGAAGAAGCACCGGCUAACUCCGUGCCAGCAGCCGCGGUAAUAC